This 295-nucleotide long non-coding RNA is filed under the name Lynx pardinus (Iberian lynx). Lineage: Eukaryota; Metazoa; Chordata; Mammalia; Carnivora; Felidae. The record is from RNAcentral.
CAGUUAACCCAGCAACCUUGUCCUGGGAAUCUGGCAUCCAAAGCCUUGCUUUUGUCCCCACCAGGAAGAGGACAGAGUCCCGAGUGCCGGGCACUGAGGCUCCCACCUCUCAGCGAGCUGCUACCUGCCACCCGACACGAGUGAAAAACCAGAGCUGAAUUUUCUUAGCAACCGAAGCCUCGCCCCUGCCACUGUGGAAGAGGUCCCCUGUCAAAGUCCCUCUUCUUUGAAGAAACACGACUGAGACCAGGUGAGAAGUAGCUACAGUUUAAUACAAACCUGCACCAGAACACAA